Long non-coding RNA from Megalopta genalis, 1560 nucleotides. RefSeq lists it as uncharacterized. Lineage: Eukaryota; Metazoa; Arthropoda; Insecta; Hymenoptera; Halictidae. The record is from RefSeq and is a predicted model, not a curated record.
GCGCCGGUGGUCGAAACUUUAACAAAUUCCCGCCGCGACACGGCUCGGUCGAAGCGAUAUCACACACGCUCCUCGACGGAUAUACACGUAUUCGGCGUAUAAAAGCACCAGAUGAAAGCACACGAACAAUUCUAAGUAGAAGAUUCAAACGACCUUAAUGAUCUGUAACGACACAAACAAACGUCGUUCACGUCUUAGCACUAUUAUUAAGGCACUUGCAACCAAUUUCCUUCGUACGUCUAAGGUCACUCGCUGGUCGAGUAUAAGGCACAAAUCUAUUACGGCUCACGAGCGACCAAGCUGUCCGAGAUCGUUACCAUUGAGCCGAGUCGCACGAAAGUUUCCGCAGAGGCAAACGUCACACUGUCACAGUACGUCCGUUCACAUCGAGCGAGACGAGAUUACCGAUAUCUGCUAUCGAUCGGAGAGGUGUUCUUCAAACAGGAGCCGUGCCGGGUUUCGCAUCGUGACGAUCCCGAACGGAAACGUCGGAAACUAUGGUUCGCCGUGAACUAUGGGCGAUAUGUCAUCGGAUGCUGGAGCGAAAGAAGAAGGACGAAAGCAUUUUGCCGCAGUAUAGAGUGACGAGGGGCUGGUUCGAGGGGGCACAGGGGGAAUUAGGACCUACGAGGGACAGAAACCGACAGAAAGAGAAGAGGAGCGAGUAAGACGAAGGGUGGAAUGAGAAAGAGGGAGAGAGAGAGUGGAGAAAGAGAGAGAGAGAGAGAGAGGGAGAAGGAGGGAGAAACGGAAAGGGAGACGCGUGUUGUGUGAAGAGGAAAAGGUGGUGGGGAUUUUGAGCACGCGCCGCAGCCCCCUCGUUUCUUCUCCCCCGGAACUGAAAAGGGGGACCUAACCAUGCACCAUAUGCUGAGGGGAGCGUGUGCCAGUUGCGUAUAUGCGAGCGCGCACGCGCGAACGCGCGCACGCUUACUUUAUGCACGGAAUCCAUCGGCGGCCAAUGUUUCACGAGCAAUUAUUGUUGAAAGUCCUUUAUUGCACAGGCUGCCACGUUUAUGGCAAAUUUAUGGAGCACGCUUUAACCCUGCUACAACGAUCUCCGAGUCUUGUCUAUUCCCUUUAUGCAACCCCGUUGCCUCCCUCCGGGUCCUUUCAGAACCGAGUAUCCUUUCUUCUCAGUAUUAUUUCUUCGGUAGCACUAUGAUUUUCAAUGAUUUGGUGACUUAGUCGAGUUCAUAAUUUGUUAACCAGUUAGUUGCUUUGGACGAGCAUACUUCGUCGUUUUUUCAUAAUGAGUAUACUCGUCAAUAACAGUUAACUGGUUAAGAAAGCACGUUAGUUAUUUUAUAGCCUUUAAUGAAACAUAUGAAAAUUUGAAUAAAUUGUCAAAAUAAAAACAUUCAUGUUUUAAAACUGACACCUAUUUAGAAAAAAGUGUAUUAUUUACGAGAACUGUAUCUUAUUUACAAGAACUGUCUUUUAUUUAGGAGAACUGUACUUUAUUUAUAAAAACGGUCCUUUAUUUAUAAGACCGGUCUAUUAAUUAUAAGAACAGCCCUUUGUUUGUAAGAACGAUUAUUAAAAACAAGUUUAAUUGUU